CUACCACUCAAGUUUAUCUUGGUUUUGGGCUUCAUUAUUACUUUUUAGUGAUAAUGUGCUUUAAAUAUAGUCGGCAACAAGCAUUAGUUCUAAGCGUAGCAGUAAAACAUUUCGCUAUAAGACUUAAAGUAUUGUUUACCGCAAGCAAAUCAAA
This 154-nucleotide unclassified non-coding RNA is filed under the name uncultured Ascomycota. RNAcentral describes it as "sequence contains ITS2". The record is from RNAcentral. Lineage: Eukaryota; Fungi; Ascomycota.